This 297-nucleotide ribosomal RNA is filed under the name uncultured bacterium. RNAcentral describes it as "partial 16S ribosomal RNA". It matches the Rfam family "Bacterial small subunit ribosomal RNA", at positions 334 to 629 of the family's 1533-position model. The record is from RNAcentral.
CUUUCCUACGGGGGGCAGCAGUGAGGAAUAUUGGUCAAUGGCCGAGAGGCUGAACCAGCCAAGUCGCGUGAGGGAAGACGGCCCUACGGGUUGUAAACCUCUUUUGUCGGGGAGCAAAGCGAGUCACGUGUGACGCAUUGAGAGUACCCGAAGAAAAAGCAUCGGCUAACUCCGUGCCAGCAGCCGCGGUAAUACGGAGGAUGCGAGCGUUAUCCGGAGUUAUUGGGUUUAAAGAGUGCGCAGGCGGAGGUGCAAGUCAUCGGUCAAAUUGCGGGGCUUAACCCCGUACUGCCGUGG